Molecule: ribosomal RNA, 253 nt
Filed under: uncultured bacterium
Lineage: Bacteria
Description: partial 16S ribosomal RNA
Rfam family: Bacterial small subunit ribosomal RNA
Source: RNAcentral
GACGAACCGUGCGAACGUUGUUCGGAAUCACUGGGCUUAAAGGGCGCGUAGGCGGACGACCAAGUCAGGGGUGAAAGCCCCCAGCUCAACUGGGGAAGUGCCUUUGAUACUGGUCGUCUCGAGGGAGGUAGGGGCGUGCGGAACUUCCGGUGGAGCGGUGAAAUGCGUAGAUAUCGGAAGGAACGCCGGUGGCGAAAGCGGCGCGCUGGACCUCUUCUGACGCUGAGGCGCGAAAGCUAGGGGAGCAAACGGG